GAUGAACGCUGGCGGCGUGCCUAAUACAUGCAAGUCGAGCGAACGGACGAGAAGCUUGCUUCUCUGAUGUUAGCGGCGAACGGGUGAGUAACACGUGGAUAACCUACCUAUAAGACUGGGAUAACUUCGGGAAACCGGAGCUAAUACCGGAUAAUAUUUUGAACCGCAAGGUUCAAAAGUGAAAGACGGUCUUGCUGUCACUUAUGGAUGGAUCCGAGCUGCAUUAGCUUGUUGGUAAGGUAACGGCUUACCACGGCAACGAUGCAUAGCCGACCCGAGAGGGUGAUCGGCCACACUGGAACUGAGACACGGUCCAGACCCCUACGGGAGGCAGCGGUAGGGAAACUUCCGCAAUGUGCGAAAGCCUGACGGAGAAACGCCGCUGGAGUGAUGAAGAUCUUCGGAUCGUAAAACUCUGUUAUUAGGGAAGAACAUAGGUGUAAGUAACUGUUCACAGCUUGACGGUACCUAAUCAGAAAGCCACGGCUAACUACGUG
This 497-nucleotide ribosomal RNA is filed under the name uncultured bacterium. RNAcentral's name for it is "partial 16S ribosomal RNA". It matches the Rfam family "Bacterial small subunit ribosomal RNA", at positions 28 to 507 of the family's 1533-position model. The record is from RNAcentral.